RNAcentral lists this ribosomal RNA (383 nucleotides) under uncultured eukaryote. RNAcentral's name for it is "SSU rRNA". It matches the Rfam family "Eukaryotic small subunit ribosomal RNA", at positions 587 to 972 of the family's 1831-position model. The record is from RNAcentral.
AGCUCCAAUAGGGUAUAUUAAAGUUGUUGUAGUUAAAAAGCUCGUAGUUGGAUUUCUGGCAGUAGCGACCGGUCACACACUCUGUGUGGGAACUUGUGUUGUCUCUGGCCAUCCUUGGGAAAAUCCUUUUUGGCACUAAGCUCUCGGGCAGAGGAUACCCAUUGUUUACUUUAAACAAAUAGAGUGUUUAAAGCAGGCGUAUGCCGUUGAAUAUAUUAGCAUGGAAUACUAAGAUAUGACUUUUGAACUAUUUUGUUGGUUUGCGUUACGAAGUAAUGAUUAAUAGGGACAGUUGGGGGUAUUCAUAUUUUGUUGUCAGAAGUAAAAAUCUUGAAUUUCCGAAAGACGAACUACUGCGAAAGCAUUUACCAAUGAUGUCUACA